GAUGAACGCUAGCGGCAGGCUUAAUACAUGCAAGUCGAGGGGCAGCAGGUCUGUAGCAAUACAGAUGCUGGCGACCGGCAAACGGGUGCGGAACACGUACACAACCUUCCUUUGAGCGGGGAAUAGCCCGGGGAAACCCGGAUUAAUACCCCAUAGUAUAUUGAAGAGGCAUCUCUUUACUAUUAAAGAUUUAUCACUUAAAGAUGGGUGUGCGGCUGAUUAGGUAGUGGCGGGGUAACGGCCCACCAAGCCUACGAUCAGUAACUGGUGUGAGAGCACGACCAGUCACACGGGCACUGAGACACGGGCCCGACUCCUACGGGAGGCAGCAGUAAGGAAUAUUGGUCAAUGGACGAAAGUCUGAACCAGCCAUGCCGCGUGGAGGAUGAAGGU
This 393-nucleotide ribosomal RNA is filed under the name uncultured bacterium. Its description in RNAcentral is "bacterial SSU rRNA". It matches the Rfam family "Bacterial small subunit ribosomal RNA", at positions 28 to 415 of the family's 1533-position model. The record is from RNAcentral.